This 462-nucleotide ribosomal RNA is filed under the name uncultured bacterium. RNAcentral's name for it is "partial 16S ribosomal RNA". It matches the Rfam family "Bacterial small subunit ribosomal RNA", at positions 338 to 795 of the family's 1533-position model. The record is from RNAcentral.
CCUACGGGUGGCAGCAGUGAGGAAUAUUGGUCAAUGGGAGAGAUCCUGAACCAGCCAAGCCGCGUGAGGGAAGACGGCCCUAUGGGUUGUAAACCUCUUUUGUCGGAGAACAAAACCCGGGACGUGUCCCGGACUGCGUGUAUCCGAAGAAAAAGCAUCGGCUAACUCCGUGCCAGCAGCCGCGGUAAUACGGAGGAUGCGAGCGUUAUCCGGAUUGACUGGGUGUAAAGAGUUGCGUAGGUGGCAUAAUAAGUAGCUAGUGAAAUCUGGUGGCUCAACCAUUCAGACUAUUAGCUAAACUGUUAAGCUCGAGACCGUUAGGGGUAACUGGAAUUUCUAGUGUAGGAGUGAAAUCCGUAGAUAUUAGAAAGAACACCAAUAGCGUAGGCAGGUUACUGGGACGGUUCUGACACUAAGGCACGAAAGCGUAGGGAGCAAACGGGAUUAGAUACCCCAGUAGUC